This 134-nucleotide ribosomal RNA is filed under the name uncultured eukaryote. Its description in RNAcentral is "partial 18S ribosomal RNA". It matches the Rfam family "Eukaryotic small subunit ribosomal RNA", at positions 1299 to 1458 of the family's 1831-position model. The record is from RNAcentral.
UGGUGGAGCGAUUUGUCUGGUUUAUUCCGAUAACGAACGAGACUCCGACCUACUAACUAGUGAGGCGAUCUUUUGUCGUCGGCACUUCUUAGAGGGACAAGCGGUGUUCAGCCGCAUGAGAAGGAGCAAUAACA